AAAAAAAGCAGACAGAGUUGACUAUAAAUUUAAUAGGAAGAAAAGGUUGGUGUGCGAAGAUGUUUUUGAUAAGUGAUGUUCAAAGUUUGUCACACGGAGACGAGAUAAACAAGGAUAAGAUAAGAAUGAUAAUGAGAUGGGAAGAGAUGAAUACAGACUUUGAGAUAUGAGAAAGAGAUGAAAAAAUAGAGAUUAACAAUAGGGUUCAGGAUUGCCAUUAACACCUACGUAAGUUCUUAAUUAAAUGAGUAAUGGUGAGGAAAGCCAAUUAGUCAUAAAAUGGUCCUCUAUAUGUCAAGGUGAGGGAGAUAAAACGUCUCUCAAGGUCUUGUCUCAGGUAUUGUUGUGGGGACUUCUAAUUAUGUACUCAGGUAAACGUAAAGAGUGAAGUAAAGGAUGAGUGAAGCCAAUUAGCCAUAAAUGGUCUUCUAUAUGUCAAGGUGAGGGAGAUAAACACGUCUCUCAAGGUCUCUCGUCAGGUAUUAUUGUGGGGGCCAUUUAUUAUGUACUCAGGUAGACAAUAUCAUGAGCAGGUGAAGUUAAUCAACACCGAGAAACACUAGUAAUUUUUCCAUGAUGACUUGAGUGUUUUAUCAGUAUUCCGUAUGUCCGUAAGUAUCAAAUAGUAUCAAAGUCUGAAAAGGGAAAAUAAUAUGUAACUGAAAGGGUUUUGUCGUACUUUGCACUUUAGAUGAAGGGGUUUGUCCUUAUUUUUUUUUUUGUCCAAGGUGAGUUUUAUCUGGACCCCGAGGGGAAACCUUUGUCUCGCUGCUCUACCCUUGACCCCGACCACAGACACCGACGUCGCUGGCUGAUCUAAUGCCCACCUUGCCGUGACGCCUAUGCGAAAUUAAAUAUAUGACGGUGGUGAUGACUAAGACAAUAAUGGCGAGAAACAGUGAUAAAAAAAUAAUAAUAAUCGUGAAAACGCCCCAAACACCAACAUCUUCAAACAGUGUAGGGCAGACUUUCCGGGGUCACUCGGCACGCAGUCUUAUAGCACGUGGCGGUGUCGGGACGAAGGUGGCGCCGACGGUGCUGCCACGACACCCGGCGAUCCGUGGCCCGGGGCGGAGGGCACGACCGUCACGCGUCUGCACCUCCACUGCCCUCCUUAGCGAGCGAGCGAGACAGACACCCAUGUUUGAUAAAGCUUUGGUAGAGGUUGUGUUAGUGUUUCCAUGGGUAGUUUUAUGAGCCAAGUGACAGUUUGAUAAGGCUUUCGUAGAGGUUGUGUUAGUGUUUCCAUGGGUAGUUUUAUGAGCCUAGUGACAGUUUGAUAAGGCUUUCGUAGAGGUUGUGUUAGUAUUUCCACAGGUAGUUUUAUGAGCCAAGUGACAGUUUGAUAAGGCUUUCGUAGAGGUUGUGUUAGUAUUUCCACAGGUAGUUUUAUGAGCCAAGUGACAGUUUGAUAAGGCUUUCGUAGAGGUUGUGUUAGUAUUUCCAUAGGUAGUUUUAUGAGCCAAGUGACAGUUUGAUAAGGCUUUCGUAGAGGUUGUGGGUAUAUCCAUUGGUAGUUUUAUGAGUCUAGUGACAGUUUGAUAAGGCUUUCGUAGAGGUUGUGGGUAUAUCCAUUGGUAGUUUUAUGAGCCUAGUGACAGUUUGAUAAGGCUUUCGUAGAGGUUGUGGCUAUAUCCAUUGGUAGUUUUAGGAGCCUAGGGAUAGUUUGACAAGCCCUUUGCACCGUGAAUGUGAAAAACUCUCAUGAGAACCCGACCCAUCUCCUUCGUGGCCUUUGGAAAUAGUAGUUGUCAGAGCCGAAAGCGUCUGAGAAUACGGACAGCCGAGAAUACAACUAGGGCGAAGAACAGUUUAGAAGCAGCCAUUGGUUUUAGAGGCUUACACACCCACAUUUGAUAACGCUUUUGUAGAGAUUGUGUUGAUAGUGCCAUGGAUAGUUUUUUGAGCCUAGUGAUACUUUGACAAGGCUUCUGCACCGUGGACGUGAAGAAAACUAAUGAGAACCCGAUUCCUCCCACUUGUGGCCUUUGGAAAUACUGGACCCGUAUUCUCAAACCUUUCGGCGCCCAAUUACACAUAUAUGACAAGGCUUUCGCAGGCUUUUCGGGCAUUUUCAGGGGUAGUUUAACCCGGUAGCUGCGGGGAUCAUGUUUCUUAAAGGCCCCUCUAAGUGAGAAAAAGGAGAAAAAAUCAUCACUCACACAAACCAUUUCAUAAUAUAUAUCAACGCAUUUGUGAUCAGUUUAUGCAUCAUCUAUUUUUGCGGGGUUUAUACCAUGGCAAAAAUUUGGCACGGUAAAGCCACAAAUUUGGCCCAUCGCUGCUACCGGGUUAAUGGCCCUGGUGGUUGUUUAAUUCUUCUUCUGUACCAUGAAUGUGAAAAAAAAACAUGAAAGCCAGAUUAAUUUCCAUUUUGACCUUUGAAAAUAGUUGAUGUGAGAGCCGAAAGCGUCUGAAAAUGCUGGCUACCUAGUGUGUUGUGUUGUGUAAUGGAUCCUCCUGUAAUCCCCUUUAUGCUAUGUGUUAACCUAGUGACGGUGCGCCUGUGUAGAGAGAGAGAUAAAUAUUCGUGUCUCCUGCACUCACACGCUUAUUCGGUGAUACUACGAGGACUCACGCGUGUGUUGGUUGGCAAAUAUCAUCAUCCUCAUUAUCCCAACUGUCGUCAUCAUCAUCAUCCUCAUUAUCCCAACUGUCGUCAUCAUCGUCAUCCUCAUCAUAAUCAUCAUCAUGCAUCAUUCACUAUCACGUAUCGUCCCUACCUACACCAUCACCAUCACCACUACCAUCACCAUCAUCACUCAAGAUCACUAUAUUAAAUUCUGUUCCUGCUAUAUCGGCCCCACCAACACCAUCACCACCACUACUACGAGCCUUCAUUAUCACUGCUGUCACUAUCACCACCACUAUCAUGACUCACUAUCACCAUCACCAUCACCACCACUACUACGAGCCUUCAUUAUCACUGCUGUCACUAUCACCACCACUAUCAUGACUCACUAUCACCAUCACCAUCACCACCACUACUACGAGCCUUCAUUAUCACCACUGUCACCUCCACCACCAUUACCAGCAUCACUAUCAGGACUCACUAUCAUUAUAUUUAUCCCUACCAUACCGUCCCCAUCACCAUCAUCACCACCACCACCACCACUAAUACCAUCACGAAACUUCAUCAUCACCACUGUCACCCCCACCACCACCACCAUCACACAGCCAAUCACACGCCCAUCCGUCACCUUCAGUAAAAGCUCCUGAGAACAUUACCUGAGUGAAGUCAAGCUUAGCCUCCACACCUGAUGCUUUCCCACACUCAUUCCUUUUCCAUUCUCUCCAUCCUUUCUUUCCCUCUUUCUUCCUCUUCUUCUUCUUUUGACCUGUAUUGCUUUGUGUCGCUUCGUAGGUCCUCCUCUUGGUCCUCUCUUCUGCUUAUUCACACAUUUUGCUUUCCAGUGCGAUUAUAUAUAUCUUCCUUUCCCUCAUACUUCCUUCUCUUCCCUUGCACUCCAUCCUCUCCCUCCUUUCCCUUCACAUUCUCUUCUUCUCCUCCAACUCCUUCCCCUCCCACUCCUUCCAUUCCCUUAUACUCUCUUCCACUCUCUCCUUUCCUUUGCACUAUUUCCUUUUCCUCCUUCCUUUAUCCUUCCUUUCCCUCAUGCUUCAUCCUCUCCCUCCUUUCCCAUCCCAUUUCUUUCUUUCCUUCUUACUUCUUCCUUUUCCUCGUACUCUUUCCUUUCCCUCCCAAUCCCUCCUUUCCCCUUCCUUUCUUUCCUCCACACCCUUCCUUUCCCUUUCACUCCCUCCUUCCCUCUCCUUCACACUCCCUUUCCUUCCACUUUCCCUCCUCCCUCCUUCCUAUUCACGCACUCAACCUCAAAUCCUUUCUUCCACACUCCUUCUCCUCCUCCUCCUCCUCCUCUUUCCUUCCCUCUCCCUACUUCUCUCCCUCCUGUAUUCACCCUUCACUACACACACACACACACACACACACACACACACACACAUGGGAAUGGUGAUAGUGGUGAAUAUGAUGAUGAUGAUGAUGAUGAUGGUG
This is a long non-coding RNA of Eriocheir sinensis (Chinese mitten crab), 4015 nucleotides long. RefSeq lists it as uncharacterized. The record is from RefSeq and is a predicted model, not a curated record. The transcript is spliced from 3 exons. Lineage: Eukaryota; Metazoa; Arthropoda; Malacostraca; Decapoda; Varunidae.